GCCGCCCUAGCUCAGCGGUAGAGCACCGCUUUCGUAAAGCGGGGGUCGUGGGUUCAAAUCCCACGGGCGGCU
Molecule: transfer RNA, 72 nt
Filed under: Planctomycetia bacterium
Lineage: Bacteria; Pseudomonadati; Planctomycetota; Planctomycetia
Also listed under: 1 other name
Description: tRNA-Thr
Rfam family: tRNA
About the family: Transfer RNA (tRNA) molecules are approximately 80 nucleotides in length. Their secondary structure includes four short double-helical elements and three loops (D, anti-codon, and T loops).
Source: RNAcentral